Molecule: ribosomal RNA, 439 nt
Filed under: uncultured bacterium
Lineage: Bacteria
Description: partial 16S ribosomal RNA
Rfam family: Bacterial small subunit ribosomal RNA
Source: RNAcentral
CCUACGGGAGGCAGCAGUGGGGAAUAUUGCACAAUGGGGGAAACCCUGAUGCAGCGACGCCGCGUGAGCGAUGAAGUAUCUCGGUAUUGAAAGCUCUUUCUGUAGGGAAGAAAAUGACGGUACCUGACUAAGAAGCCCCGGCAACUACGUGCCAGCAGCCGCGGUAAGACGUAGGGGGCAAGCGUUAUUCGGAUUUACUGGGUGUAAAGGGAGCGUUGACGGGUAUGCAAGCCAGUUGUGAAAGCACGGGGCUCAACCCCGGGAUUGCAUUUGGAACUGGAUACCUGGAGUGUAGGAGAGGCAGGCGGAAUGCGUAGUGUAGCGGUGAAAUGCGUAGAUAUUAGGAGGAACACCAGUGGCGAAGGCGGCCUGCUGGACGAUGACUGACGUUGAGGCUCGAAAGCGUGGGGAGCAAACAGGAUUAGAUACCCCAGUAGUC